Molecule: non-coding RNA, 1140 nt
Organism: Salvia hispanica
Lineage: Eukaryota; Viridiplantae; Streptophyta; Magnoliopsida; Lamiales; Lamiaceae
Source: RefSeq, a predicted model, not a curated record
UGCUCCUCCGGCGGCCGUGGUCGCCGGCCAUCGGCCCUCUCCUCCUUGCUCAUAGCUUCUUCCUCUCCAUCUUCUCCAACCUCCAUUAUUAGAUUUCAAUGUUCAAGCUUUGUUUCCCCAAACUCAUUUCUUGCAAUUUAAGGGGUGGCGCAUCCAAGGCUCGAGGAUGGACAACCUAAACCAAGCUUCAGGAGGUUAUUUCGAAUUUCUGCUUUCGAGGAGUCGAUGACGGGGCAGCUUUCAACGUGGUCCACAAUCUCCCAGCCGCUAUGUUUGACUAGUAGACCCUUUGGUAUUUGGGUAAAAGUGAAUUGUUUGGAGAGUAAACUUGAUAACUUUUAUGCUACUAUAUUUUGAAUGAUGUAGGUUUCAAUCCGAUUAAGCAGGAUAUUUUAUUUUGGUUGGAAUACUGGAUGAAGUAUCUAUAUUUUUAACAUAGUGAUACAUUUUGGUGUAGAUAUCUAUAUACACAUGUUUCAGAUGUUGGAAAAAUAUUCUUAUUAGUGUUCUUUAAAUUGUUUUAUAUAUAUAUAAAAAAAAAUAUGUCAAUGAUGAUUUUCCUUUUAAGUUUAUAAAAUUGUUUCCGUUUUUCUUAUUUCCAUUUAAAUUCUGAAUUUUAAAAAUAAAAUAAAUUAGCAUUUUAGUAUUUUGGUAGCGUCACCCGUUUUAAAGAGUUCGGGGCGUUACAGAAUGGUAUCAGAGCGGGUCUACGUUCCUGUAGACUUGCUUAUUAUUUUAAUUAGAAGUCUAAAACUCAAGUGAGAUUCUUAUGUUUUAAAUGAUACGGGCGAGCACGUGGAUCCUGACUGCUGCCAGUUGCCGACUUUGAGGUUGUCCGACUAAGACCGAGGAUGCGCCCUAGCAAAUUUAUUAAGGGGUGGCGCAUCCAAGGCUCGAGGAUGGACAACCUAAACCAAGCUUCAGGAGGUUAUUUCGAAUUUCUGCUUUCGAGGAGUCGAUGACGGGGCAGCUUUCAACGUGGUCCACAAUCUCCCAGCCGCUAUGUUUGACUAGUAGACCCUUUGGUAUUUGGGUAAAAGUGAAUUGUUUGGAGAGUAAACUUGAUAACUUUUAUGCUACUAUAUUUUGAAUGAUGUAGGUUUCAAUCCGAUUAAGCAGGAUAUUUUAUUUUGGUUGGAA